RNAcentral lists this non-coding RNA (203 nucleotides) under Pteropus alecto (black flying fox). Its description in RNAcentral is "Eukaryotic large subunit ribosomal RNA". It matches the Rfam family "Eukaryotic large subunit ribosomal RNA", at positions 2133 to 2332 of the family's 3401-position model. Lineage: Eukaryota; Metazoa; Chordata; Mammalia; Chiroptera; Pteropodidae. The record is from Rfam by way of RNAcentral.
UCUUAGUAACCUUUAAAAUUGUUAUUUCAUCACGAAGGCCCACUGUGAGUGUUGACACAAUGUGAUUUCUGCUCAGUGCUCUGAAUGUCAAAGUGAAGAAAUUCAAUGAAGCUCGGGUAAACAGUGGGAGUAAGUAUGACUCUCUUAAGAUAGCCAAAUGCCUUGUCAUCUAAUUACUGAUGCUCAUGAAUGGAUGAAUGAGA